CGCGUAGGCGGUUGUGUUAGUCAGAUGUGAAAUACUUCAGCUCAACUGAAGAAAUGCAUUUGAUACUGCAUAACUAGAGUACAGGAGAGGGAAAUGGAAUUCCCGGUGUAGAGGUGAAAUUCGUAGAUAUCGGGAGGAGCACCAGUGGCGAAGGCGAUUUCCUGGCCUGAUACUGACGCUGAGGCGCGAAAGCGUGGGGAGCAAACAG
RNAcentral lists this ribosomal RNA (208 nucleotides) under uncultured bacterium. Its description in RNAcentral is "partial 16S ribosomal RNA". It matches the Rfam family "Bacterial small subunit ribosomal RNA", at positions 568 to 775 of the family's 1533-position model. The record is from RNAcentral.